UAAUUCCGCUGUGCCCUCACCUGUCUCCCUAGAACCUACAACUUCUCCACCGAUGGCUUCCACAGUGCAGCCCUGGGGGCUGGCCUGUGCCUGAGCACCGGGGUGCACGGCGGCGUGGACUGGAUGAGGAAGCUGGCCUUCCGCUACCGGGUGAAGGAGAUGUAUAACACCUACCGGGACAACGUGGGCAGAUUGAUAGGAGCUCCCAAAAGAGAGACUUGGCUACAGCUCUGAGCAGAGCUGGAGGCGCUGACAGACCUCUGGCUCAUGCACUUUCUGAAGGCACUAAACCUCAUCAACUCCCGGCCCAACUGUGUCAUAGUGCUGGUCACCACCACCCUACUGAACCCUGCCCUGGCCAAAGUCUUGCUGUACGGACUGGGUUCCAUGUUCCCCAUGGAGAAGAUCUACAGUGCCACCAAGACAGAUAGGGCGCAGCCAGCCUUCGAGGAAGCAGGAGCAGGGGGCUGGGAGGGCUGGCCGGGGGUGGCAGGGGCUGGCUUCCUGUGCUGGGAACAGGGCAGCCAGGGAAAGGUCACCGGGGAGGUUUACUAACCUGUCCAUGACCCUCACAGCCCUUUCACCAGGGUGGACAACAGAAAACUAAUAGCACUAAAUGAAUGCUCUCCUCCUGCAUGACUAGAAUGAGCACCUGAUUUGCACCACUUAUCUUCUUUUUAUGACAGGGAAUGUUGAUUUUUUUUUGUGCGUGGGGAGCUGAUUUUUUUGGACUUGGGGUAACCUGGAAUUGAGCUCAGGAACUGAGCCACAUCCCCCAGCCCUAUUUUGUGUUUUAUUUAGAGACAGGGUCUCACUGAGUUUCUUAGCUCAUUGCUUUUUGAUGAACUGGCUUGGCCACUCCCGGAUCCUCAUGGAACCUAGGUAUCUUCCACCACCCCCCUCCACCCCCCCCCUGCAGUGCCUCCUACAGCACCCCCUGCAGCACCUGGAUCCAGUGCCCAGAUCCUUUUGCCUCAGCCUCCCAAGCCAUUGGGGUUACAGGUGUGCUCCACUCUGCCUGGCAUUUUUUCAAUUUUCAUAUCACCUGGAAAUGUAUAUGAAUACAAAAUAAAGCUAGUUAGUGGACGUGUUUUUGAUCAGAAAUUCUUACCUUUUUUUUCUGGAGAAGAAAAAAAUCUAGUUCUUCAGAUGCAAAGUGUCUUCGAGCAGCUCUUUGCUUUUUGCUUGUAGUGAUUUUCUAAGUCUGACUAUGACUUAGAAAUGGAGCCUUUAGAGUUUAAAAUAACCGCAAUUCAGGUGAAAAAGUUUAUUAGACUAACAUUUGCAAACAAAACUUUGGGGGCCUUCUCAUUUUCUUCCCUGGAUCCUCUGGGCAGGUGUCCUU
This 1345-nucleotide long non-coding RNA is filed under the name Ictidomys tridecemlineatus (thirteen-lined ground squirrel). RNAcentral describes it as "lncRNA (ENSSTOG00000032948.1)". The record is from RNAcentral. Lineage: Eukaryota; Metazoa; Chordata; Mammalia; Rodentia; Sciuridae.